This 62-nucleotide transfer RNA is filed under the name Plumatella geimermassardi. Its description in RNAcentral is "tRNA-Trp". The record is from RNAcentral. Lineage: Eukaryota; Metazoa; Bryozoa; Phylactolaemata; Plumatellidae.
AGUGAAUUAGGUUAAGUAAACCUUUAGCCUUCAAAGCUUAGAUUGGGGAAACCCAUUCACUA